Molecule: ribosomal RNA, 443 nt
Filed under: uncultured bacterium
Lineage: Bacteria
Description: bacterial SSU rRNA
Rfam family: Bacterial small subunit ribosomal RNA
Source: RNAcentral
CCUACGGGGGGCAGCAGUGGGGAAUCUUGCACAAUGGGGGAAACCCUGACGCAGCGACGCCGCGUGAAGGAAGAAGGUUUUCGGAUCGUAAACUUCUAUCAGCAGGGACGAAGAAAGUGACAGUACAUGACUCAGAAGCCCCGGCUAACUACGUGAGAGCAGGCGCGGUAACACGUAGGGGGCAAGCGUUAUCCGGAAUGACUGGGAGUCAAGGGUGCGUAGGCGGUAGGGUAAGUCAGAUGUGAAAGCCCGGGGCUCAACCCCGGGAUUGCAUUUGAAACGGUCUGACUAGAGUGCAGGAGAGGAAAGCGGAAUUCCUGGUGUAGCGGUGAAAUGCGUAGAGAUUAGGAAGAACACCAGUGGCGAAGGCGGCGUUCUGGACUGUAACUGACGCUGAAGCACGAAAGCGUGGGGAGCGAACAGGAUUAGAUACCCGUGUAGUC